GCUGGGUGUGGUGGUGCAUGCCUGUAAUCCCAGCUACCUGGGAAGCUGAGGCAGGAGAAUUGCUUGAACCUGGGAAGCAGGUUGCAGUGAGCCAAGAUGGUGCCACCGCACUCCAGCCUAGGUAACAGAGUGAGACUCUGUCUCAA
RNAcentral lists this non-coding RNA (146 nucleotides) under Pan troglodytes (chimpanzee). The record is from Rfam by way of RNAcentral. Lineage: Eukaryota; Metazoa; Chordata; Mammalia; Primates; Hominidae.